This 471-nucleotide ribosomal RNA is filed under the name uncultured Alphaproteobacteria bacterium. Its description in RNAcentral is "bacterial SSU rRNA". It matches the Rfam family "Bacterial small subunit ribosomal RNA", at positions 9 to 524 of the family's 1533-position model. Lineage: Bacteria; Pseudomonadati; Pseudomonadota; Alphaproteobacteria. The record is from RNAcentral.
GAGUUUGAUCCUGGCUCAGAGCGAACGCUGGCGGCAGGCCUAACACAUGCAAGUCGAGCGGAUGUAGCAAUACAUCAGCGGCAGACGGGAGAGUAACACGUGGGAACGUGCCCUUUGGUUCGGAAUAACUCGGCGAAAGCCGUGCUAAUACCGGAUAAGCCCUUACGGGGAAAGAUUUAUCGCCAUUGGAGCGGCCCGCGUCUGAUUAGCUAGUUGGUGAGGUAACGGCUCACCAAGGCGACGAUCAGUAGCUGGUCUGAGAGGAUGAUCAGCCUCACUGGGACUGAGACACGGCCCAGACUCCUACGGGAGGCAGCAGUGGGGAGUAUUGGACAAUGGGCGCAAGCCUGAUCCAGCCAUGCCGCGUGGAUGAUGAAGGCCUUAGGGUUGUAAAGUCCUUUUAACGGGGAAGAUAAUGACGGUACCCGUAGAAUAAGCCCCGGCUAACUUCGUGCCAGCAGCCGCCGUAAC